CGCAGCCGCGGUAAUUCCAGCUCCAAUAGCGUAUAUUAAAGUUGUUGCAGUUAAAAAGCUCGUAGUUGAAUUUCGGGAUCAAGUCGUCGGUCGUGCCUCGGUACGCACUGGUGACAUUGGUUUCUCCCUUCUGAAGAACCUUGAUGUCAUUAAUUUGGUGUCUUGGGGAAUCAGGACUGUUACUUUGAAAAAAUUAGAGUGUUUAAAGCAGGCUCACGCUUGAAUACAUUAGCAUGGAAUAAUGAAAUAGGACGUUUGAUUCUAUUUUGUUGGUUUCUAGGAUCGACGUAAUGAUUAAUAGGGAUAGUUGGGGGCAUUAGUAUUCAAUUGUCAGAGGUGAAAUUCUUGGACUUAUUGAAGACUAACUACUGCGAAAGCAUUUGCCAAGGAUGUUUUCAUUAAUCAAGAACGAAAGUUAGGGGAUCGAAGACGAUCAGAUACCGUCGUAGUCUUAACCAUAAACUAUGCCGACUAGGGAUCGGAUGAUGUUAAUUUUUUAAUGACUCAUUCGGCGCCUUAC
This 520-nucleotide ribosomal RNA is filed under the name uncultured Glomeromycotina. RNAcentral describes it as "SSU rRNA". It matches the Rfam family "Eukaryotic small subunit ribosomal RNA", at positions 569 to 1091 of the family's 1831-position model. Lineage: Eukaryota; Fungi; Glomeromycota. The record is from RNAcentral.